CGCCGGUUCCUCCUCCGGCCUCCGCCGGGAAACGUUAGGGAGGAGGUUUUCAGACCGCUCACCCCUCACUCCUCGAGCGCGAAACGGGGUGGGAAAGGUGAAAUUGGGGUCAGGGUUUCUGCCUGGCGAGAAAGAAGGCGUCUGCAUAGGUCAUUUUGAGCAUGUUUUGUGCGCAGUCAUGCAAAGUUACAGGCCGGUCCCUUCCGCCUGGGGAAUGGCCUGUCUCCGCUGAGUGAAAAUGCCGUAUUUAUCCGUUAAUCAGAAACGCAUCGAGCAGAGCAUCUACCUAUCUACGUGAGGCCCUCAAUCUACUUAAGCCCCAACAUGCAAAUACUAAAGAAGAAACAAUAAUGCUCUUCUCCCAAAGCUCCUAAUUGCACUGGUCUUGAACCUCCAGCUGUACUGAAGUUCAUUUGUGCCUUUCUGAGGGAGCAAAGAGCAAGCAGGCUGUGCAAAUAAGACAUAGCAGGCCUCAGCCAGCUAUCCUUAGAAAAGCCUACUGAUAAGGUAGGCCCUUGGCUGGUAUCUGUGAACUUGGAUUUCGGGAGUGCUCCCACCAUUCCUGGAAUUGAUAAGAAUGACUAUCUAGAC
Prionailurus viverrinus (fishing cat) is the source of this 591-nucleotide long non-coding RNA. RefSeq lists it as uncharacterized. Lineage: Eukaryota; Metazoa; Chordata; Mammalia; Carnivora; Felidae. The record is from RefSeq and is a predicted model, not a curated record. The transcript is spliced from 3 exons.